Molecule: ribosomal RNA, 1381 nt
Filed under: uncultured bacterium
Lineage: Bacteria
Description: bacterial SSU rRNA
Rfam family: Bacterial small subunit ribosomal RNA
Source: RNAcentral
CCUGGCUCAGGAUGAACGCUAGCUACAGGCUUAACACAUGCAAGUCGAGGGGCAGCAUGGUCUUAGCUUGCUAAGGCCGAUGGCGACCGGCGCACGGGUGAGUAACACGUAUCCAACCUGCCGUCUACUCUUGGACAGCCUUCUGAAAGGAAGAUUAAUACAAGAUGGCAUCAUGAGUCCGCAUGUUCACAUGAUUAAAGGUAUUCCGGUAGGCGAUGGGGAUGCGUUCCAUUAGAUAGUAGGCGGGGUAACGGCCCACCUAGUCUUCGAUGGAUAGGGGUUCUGAGAGGAAGGUCCCCCACAUUGGAACUGAGACACGGUCCAAACUCCUACGGGAGGCAGCAGUGAGGAAUAUUGGUCAAUGGGCGAGAGCCUGAACCAGCCAAGUAGCGUGAAGGAUGACUGCCCUAUGGGUUGUAAACUUCUUUUAUAAAGGAAUAAAGUCGGGUAUGGAUACCCGUUUGCAUGUACUUUAUGAAUAAGGAUCGGCUAACUCCGUGCCAGCAGCCGCGGUAAUACGGAGGAUCCGAGCGUUAUCCGGAUUUAUUGGGUUUAAAGGGAGCGUAGAUGGAUGUUUAAGUCAGUUGUGAAAGUUUGCGGCUCCACCGUAAAAUUGCAGUUGAUACUGGAUAUCUUGAGUGCAGUUGAGGCAGGCGGAAUUCGUGGUGUAGCGGUGAAAUGCUUAGAUAUCACGAAGAACUCCGAUUGCGAAGGCAGCCUGCUAAGCUGCAACUGACAUUGAGGCUCGAAAGUGUGGGUAUCAAACAGGAUUAGAUACCCUGGUAGUCCACACGGUAAACGAUGAAUACUCGCUGUUUGCGAUAUACUGCAAGCGGCCAAGCGAAAGCGUUAAGUAUUCCACCUGGGGAGUACGCCGGCAACGGUGAAACUCAAAGGAAUUGACGGGGGCCCGCACAAGCGGAGGAACAUGUGGUUUAAUUCGAUGAUACGCGAGGAACCUUACCCGGGCUUAAAUUGCAGAUGAAUUACGGUGAAAGCCGUAAGCCGCAAGGCAUCUGUGAAGGUGCUGCAUGGUUGUCGUCAGCUCGUGCCGUGAGGUGUCGGCUUAAGUGCCAUAACGAGCGCAACCCUUGUUGUCAGUUACUAACAGGUUCCGCUGAGGACUCUGACAAGACUGCCAUCGUAAGAUGUGAGGAAGGUGGGGAUGACGUCAAAUCAGCACGGCCCUUACGUCCGGGGCUACACACGUGUUACAAUGGGGGGUACAGAGGGCCGCUACCACGCGAGUGGAUGCCAAUCCCCAAAACCUCUCUCAGUUCGGACUGGAGUCUGCAACCCGACUCCACGAAGCUGGAUUCGCUAGUAAUCGCGCAUCAGCCACGGCGCGGUGAAUACGUUCCCGGGCCUUGUACACACCGCC